This 301-nucleotide ribosomal RNA is filed under the name uncultured bacterium. Its description in RNAcentral is "partial 16S ribosomal RNA". It matches the Rfam family "Bacterial small subunit ribosomal RNA", at positions 509 to 807 of the family's 1533-position model. The record is from RNAcentral.
CAGCCGCCGCGGUAAUACGUAGGGUGCAAGCGUUAAUCGGAAUUACUGGGCGUAAUGCGUGCGCAGGCGGUUCGUUAAGACAGAUGUGAAAUCCCCGGGCUUAACCUGGGAACUGCAUUUGUGGCUGGCGGGCUAGAGUAUGGCAGAGGGGGGUAGAAUUCCACGUGUAGCAGUGAAAUGCGUAGAGAUGUGGAGGAAUACCGAUGGCGAAGGCAGCCCCCUGGGCCAAUACUGACGCUCAUGCACGAAAGCGUGGGGAGCAAACAGGAUUAGAUACCCCGGUAGUCCCUGUCUCUUAUAC